Molecule: ribosomal RNA, 774 nt
Filed under: uncultured Neocallimastigales
Lineage: Eukaryota; Fungi; Neocallimastigomycota; Neocallimastigomycetes; Neocallimastigales
Description: partial large subunit ribosomal RNA
Rfam family: Eukaryotic large subunit ribosomal RNA
Source: RNAcentral
UCAGACGAUGCGUCAUGCAUAUCAAUAAGCGGAGGAAAAGAAACUAACAAGGAUUCCCUUAGUAACGGCGAGUGAAGCGGGAAGAGUUCAAAUUUGAAAUCUUCAAGGUUUUACCUUGACGAAUUGUAGUUUAAAGAAGUGUUUUCUGCUGAAGUUUUGGUAAAAGUUCUUUGGAAUAGGACAUCAUAGAGGGUGAGAAUCCCGUAUUUGACCAUUAUUUUCAGCUUUGUGAUACACUUUCAAAGAGUCGGAUUGUUUGGGAAUGCAGUCCAAAAUGGGUGGUAAAUUUCAUCUAAAGCUAAAUAUUGGCGAGAGACCGAUAGCGAACAAGUACCGUGAGGGAAAGAUGAAAAGAACUUUGAAAAGAGAGUUAAACAGUACGUGAAAUUGUCAAAAGGGAAGCGUUUAACACCAGUGUUGUUUUCUGAAAAUCAAUUAAAAAUGGCUCGAUUUUGUAUUGCUUGAGACCUUAAAAGCUCACUGUACAUUUUUCGUGUCUUUUUUAAUGCACUUUUCGUUUAACAAGUCAACAUCAGUUUCUUUUGUUGUAAAAGGGUCAUUGGAAGGUGGCUUUCUUUUCGGAGAAAGUGUUUAUAGCCUUUGGCCUCUGCAAUCGGAGAGACUGAGGUCUGCAGCGUAGACUCUUCGGGGUUAGAUACAUUUGUGCUAAGUUAUAGCUUUUUAUAGACAACUUGUUGACUAUAAUUAGUCUUGUAGCUUACUCGCUUAUGCUAUUUUACCUACGCUUAGGAUGUUGACUGAUAUGUAGUCGUA